GUUUUCAGGGAUCACAGUCCAUGGCAGAGCCGAGCUGCUCCGGCGGGAAUUGCGUUAAAUGUUCUUUUGAUCCCGUGCAGGAGCCACGGAAGUGCAGGGAGCUCCUCACACCACGCUGGGUGUCCAGGGGCAGAUGAGGGGCUGGGACUGGAGCAGGAGCCUGGAUUAACACUGGACAGCUCUGAUCCCCACUGGAGCGUGGAUCCAGCUGAGGAAGGUAAGGAAUCAGCUCCUUACUUUUUCCGGAUUGGUAAAUCAAA
RNAcentral lists this long non-coding RNA (260 nucleotides) under Serinus canaria (Common canary). RNAcentral's name for it is "lncRNA (ENSSCAG00000007035.1)". The record is from RNAcentral. Lineage: Eukaryota; Metazoa; Chordata; Aves; Passeriformes; Fringillidae.